Molecule: small RNA, 577 nt
Filed under: Cryptococcus neoformans H99
Lineage: Eukaryota; Fungi; Basidiomycota; Tremellomycetes; Tremellales; Cryptococcaceae
Description: Cryptococcus neoformans var. grubii H99 hypothetical RNA
Source: RNAcentral
AUCGCCUCGCCCCUUCCCCCUUUCGCAGAUAACCGCUUCCUACAUCCACACUUUUCGCCGAUCGCUGCUCGCCCACUCCACUGGCCCACGCCACGUUCCGCCCACUUCACUCCUCUCCUUUCGUGCCUCGCCCGCCCUUAACCGCCUCGAAACCUCUCGUGCCUCGUGCCUGAACCUUAUACCAGUCCCAAAAGAAUACUUCUCUGUUCCAGGUAAGGCCCGGGCUCACAUUAGCCCUAACACCAGGAACUGGUCCCGUGUUCCAUAAUUCAUUUACCACUCAUAUGGAUCCCAUCAAUCAAUGCCCACCAGUGCCUUAUGCAGUUCCACGAGCUCGAUUUUAUAUGACGGAUGAUGGGUGAUGGGUACUGUUCUUAUUACUUGACAAACAAUUGAACAGCUUUUUAUUUGAGAACGCUGGGAAUGCCAACCCAUGAGCAAUAUGCUGAACGUAAAACGACAAGCCGACACCACGCAGUAGUGACAUUGACUUUGUGGUGUUCUUGUGUCCUCCACCUGUGGACUUGUGGACAUGUGCUGUUGCGAGCUUUAAUUAUUUAUUCAUUUCAAAUUUAUU